GACGAACGCUGGCGGCGUGCUUAACACAUGCAAGUCGAACGAAGAGCGAUGGAAGUUUGUUUCUUUCAAUUUUAGUGGCGAACGGGAGAGACACGUGUAAUCAACCUGUCUUUCAGAGGGGGACAACAGUUGGAAACGACUGCUAAUACCGCAUACGUUCUAAUCUCGGCAUUGAGGAUAGAUGAAAGGUCGUGUUGACAUGUAAGCUAUCACUGAAGGAGGGGAUUGCGUCUGAUUAGCUAGCUGGGGGGGUAACGGGCCAACAAGGCGAUGAACAGUAGCCGGUCUGGGAGGGUGAACGGCCACAUUGGGACUGGGGCACGGCCCAAGAUCCUACGGGGGGGAGCAGGGAGGAAUCUUCCGGAAAGGAGGGAAGUCUGACGGGGGAACGCCGGGUGGGUGAUGGAGGCCUUCGGGUUGUAAAGCUCUGUUAAUCGGGACGGAAGGCAUUCUUGCGUAUAGGGGGAAGGAUUGACGGUACCGGAAUAGAAAGCCACGGCUAACUACGUG
RNAcentral lists this ribosomal RNA (510 nucleotides) under uncultured bacterium. Its description in RNAcentral is "partial 16S ribosomal RNA". It matches the Rfam family "Bacterial small subunit ribosomal RNA", at positions 28 to 507 of the family's 1533-position model. The record is from RNAcentral.